Pelobates cultripes (western spadefoot toad) is the source of this 367-nucleotide non-coding RNA. The record is from the annotation of a GenBank genome assembly. Lineage: Eukaryota; Metazoa; Chordata; Amphibia; Anura; Pelobatidae.
AUAAUAUCCACGAUUAGUAAAGUAAUCCAAAAGAAUCCCACACGUUUCCCAAUGACUGGACGACACACAGCAUCAGGAGCAGAACUGAACUGAGGUUUAAUUCCACAUGUCUGCUUUUAAGCAAUUCUCCCAUGCAAGGGAGACACACACAGUAAUUAAUACAGUAACCAAUAAAAUACGUGUUACCUCCCAUACAUCUCCUCCCCUCAGCAUGACACAAUCCACUUAAUCCAUGUACAGUAUUUCCCCAGUUCCUGGGAUGUACCCCAAAUACAUUGGGUACACUCCUAAAUAGGGGAUCCCCUGAUAGCUGUGAUAUGGGUGAGUAACACACUCAAAAAUCACCCAGAUAGGACCAGGGGUUCAG